RNAcentral lists this ribosomal RNA (253 nucleotides) under uncultured bacterium. Its description in RNAcentral is "partial 16S ribosomal RNA". It matches the Rfam family "Bacterial small subunit ribosomal RNA", at positions 524 to 776 of the family's 1533-position model. The record is from RNAcentral.
UACGUAGGGUGCAAGCGUUGUCCGGAAUUAUUGGGCGUAAAGAGCUCGUAGGUGGCGGGUCACGUCGGGUGUGAAAGCCCGGGGCUUAACCCCGGGUCUGCAUUCGAUACAGGCUUGCUAGGGUCCGGCAGGGGAGACUGGAAUUCCUGGUGUAGCGGUGAAAUGCGCAGAUAUCAGGAGGAACACCGGUGGCGAAGGCGGGUCUCUGGGCCGGUACCGACGCUGAGGAGCGAAAGCGUGGGGAGCGAACAGG